RNAcentral lists this long non-coding RNA (509 nucleotides) under Lonchura striata (white-rumped munia). RNAcentral describes it as "domestica (Bengalese finch) lncRNA (ENSLSDG00000018095.1)". Lineage: Eukaryota; Metazoa; Chordata; Aves; Passeriformes; Estrildidae. The record is from RNAcentral.
AGUAGUCCCACUGCGUGGUUUGAGCUCCAGCCUCGCGCUGGGCCGCUUGAGGGAGCGGAGCGGCGGGCGCUGAGCCGGGAGCCCUCUCGGCUUUGCGGGCCUUCUCCCGAGGGGCUCCUCUGGGGGAGGCGAGAGGGCCGCUCUGAGGCGGGAGCGGAGGGAUCCGAGCAGGCGGAGUUGUAAGGCGGCGGGCGCGUGCGGGACGCGCGGCGGCUGCGCGGGCUGAGGGGACCCGGCUGAGGGGACGCGGCCGCCCCCGGGACCCCGGCCCUGCGCCAGAGCCGCCGCCGGCAGGUUUCCACAUUCAGUUCCCCGUCCCUGGGGGAGUGAGUCUCUUGUGUCGAGGUGGUAAAAAGAAGCCCCGGCCCUGGGGCUGAAGACACCGGGGCCACGUGCCUUGCGAGGCGCCAUUCAUUCCCGUCCUCUGGAAAACCAGCGCGAGAGUGGAAAGGAGGAAGGGCAGGGCAAAUAUAAAUAAAAGAGCUCCUGCUCUCUAGAGUAGCGUCCUU